This 359-nucleotide transfer RNA is filed under the name uncultured Microcystis sp. Its description in RNAcentral is "partial 16S-23S ribosomal RNA intergenic spacer". The stretch from base 134 to 207 matches the Rfam family "tRNA". Lineage: Bacteria; Bacillati; Cyanobacteriota; Cyanophyceae; Chroococcales; Microcystaceae. The record is from RNAcentral.
AAAGGGAGACCUAAUUCAGGUAGGAGACGAAAAAAAAGUAGUCCCUACCAAGAAUCAAUCCCAAAAGGUCGGAACGAGGUGUGUGGCUUUCAAACUAGGUUCUGGGUUCAUAAAAGACCUGAAUCAGGAACAAGGGCUAUUAGCUCAGGUGGUUAGAGCGCACCCCUGAUAAGGGUGAGGUCCCUGGUUCGAGUCCAGGAUGGCCCACCUGCACAGGUGGCAAAAACAAGAGAAGCGAGGAAUCAGCACCUUAUCUUACUGACAUAGUAAGAGAGAAUGCUGGCUCUGAGUAAAGAGUCCAGAGGAACCUUGAAAACUGCAUAGAGCUAGGUGAAAAAGCCAAAAAAGAAGACCGCAAA